GCCGCCAUGGUGAAAUCGGUAGA
This 23-nucleotide transfer RNA is filed under the name Meliosma boliviensis. Its description in RNAcentral is "partial tRNA-Leu". The record is from RNAcentral. Lineage: Eukaryota; Viridiplantae; Streptophyta; Magnoliopsida; Proteales; Sabiaceae. RNAcentral also lists the same sequence under 1 other name.